This 497-nucleotide ribosomal RNA is filed under the name uncultured bacterium. RNAcentral's name for it is "partial 16S ribosomal RNA". It matches the Rfam family "Bacterial small subunit ribosomal RNA", at positions 28 to 507 of the family's 1533-position model. The record is from RNAcentral.
GAUGAACGCUGGCGGCGUGCCUAAUACAUGCAAGUCGAGCGAACAGACGAGGAGCUUGCUUCUCUGACGUUAGCGGCGGACGGGUGAGUAACACGUGGAUAACCUACCUAUAAGACUGGGAUAACUUCGGGAAACCGGAGCUAAUGCCGGAUAAUAUUUUGAACCGCAUGGUUCAAUAGUGAAAGACGGUUUUGCUGUCACUUAUAGAUGGAUCCGCGCCGCAUUAGCUAGUUGGUAAGGUAACGGCUUACCAAGGCAACGAUGCGUAGCCGACCUGAGAGGGUGAUCGGCCACACUGGAACUGAGACACGGUCCAGACUCCUACGGGAGGCAGCAGUAGGGAAUCUUCCGCAAUGGGCGAAAGCCUGACGGAGCAACGCCGCGUGAGUGAUGAAGGUCUUCGGAUCGUAAAACUCUGUUAUUAGGGAAGAACAAAUGUGUAAGUAACUGUGCACGUCUUGACGGUACCUAAUCAGAAAGCCACGGCUAACUACGUG